ACGCUCGACACCUACGGGAGGCAGCAGUUGGGAAUAUUGGACAAUGGAGGAAACUCUGAUCCAGUGACGCCGCGUGAAGGAAGAAGGUCUUCGGAUCGUAAACUUAUUUUGUCAGGGAAGAAAAAUGACUGUACCUGAAGAAAAAGCACCGGCUAACUACGUACCAGCAGCCGCGGUAAUCUGAGCGGGCUGGCAAGGC
RNAcentral lists this ribosomal RNA (199 nucleotides) under uncultured bacterium. Its description in RNAcentral is "partial 16S ribosomal RNA". It matches the Rfam family "Bacterial small subunit ribosomal RNA", at positions 328 to 539 of the family's 1533-position model. The record is from RNAcentral.